This 521-nucleotide ribosomal RNA is filed under the name uncultured bacterium. Its description in RNAcentral is "bacterial SSU rRNA". It matches the Rfam family "Bacterial small subunit ribosomal RNA", at positions 9 to 526 of the family's 1533-position model. The record is from RNAcentral.
GAGUUUGAUCCUGGCUCAGGACGAACGCUGGCGGCGUGCUUAACACAUGCAAGUCGAACGAAGCUUGAUGAUUGAUUUCUUCGGAAAGAAAUUUGAUAUGACUGAGUGGCGGACGGGUGAGUAACGCGUGAGCAACCUGCCCUUCAGAGGGGGAUAGCGUCUGGAAACGGACGGUAAUACCGCAUAACGUACAAAGGCCGCAUGACCAUUGUACCAAAACUGAGGUGCUGAAGGAUGGGCUCGCGUUGGAUUAGAUAGUUGGUGGGGUAACGGCCUACCAAGUCGACGAUCCAUAGCCGGACUGAGAGGUUGAACGGCCACAUUGGGACUGAGACACGGCCCAGACUCCUACGGGAGGCAGCAGUGGGGAAUAUUGGGCAAUGGGCGAAAGCCUGACCCAGCAACGCCGCGUGAAGGAAGAAGGUCUUCGGAUUGUAAACUUCUUUUAUCAGGGACGAAGUAAGUGACGGUACCUGAUGAAUAAGCCACGGCUAACUACGUGCCAGCAGCCGCGGUAAUUC